Molecule: long non-coding RNA, 1614 nt
Filed under: Canis lupus familiaris (dog)
Lineage: Eukaryota; Metazoa; Chordata; Mammalia; Carnivora; Canidae
Description: lncRNA (ENSCAFG00040021303.1)
Source: RNAcentral
AGCUGCGCACACGUGCAGGCCCCGGGGCGGCGGGCGGGCGGGCGCUGCGGGGACGAGGGAGCCCCGAGGUCGAGGUCGAGGUCGAGGUCGAGGCCACCCGGCCGGAGGGCUGAGCUGGAGCCGGCGGGCCGGGCGGGGCUGGGAGGCGCUGGUGGCCGCGGGGUUUAUUUUAAGGGACGCGAAGCUACCGCAGGUUUGGGGGAGGGGAGGGGAGGGAUUAAAGGAGAACAUGCGCUCAGCACUUUAUAUUUAGCGGCUGACGCGCCGGAAGCGCUCGUCACCCGCAGCUGCCGCUGCGCCCAGAGGGCAGCCCCCACCCCGCGCGGCUGGGGAUCCCCGGCCCCGCACCCCGCCCUCGCUCGGCAGGACCGGCACUCACGGCCCUCUGCCCACGGGGACCCUCGAGCCCGCCCCCUCCCGGGACCGGGAACCCCGAACCCCGCCUCCUCCUCCGGGAAAGGGAUCCCCCAACCCCGCCUCCACCUCCCGGGCGGGACAGGGAUCCCCGAACCCCGCCUCCCCCUCCCCGGACAGGGAUCCCCCAACCCCGCCUCCACCUCCGGGGACAGGGAUCCCCGAACCCCGCCUCCGCCUCCCCCUCCCCGGACAAGGAUCCCCCAACCCCACCUCCCCUCCCGGGACAGGGAUCCCCGAACCCCGCCCCCUCUCCCGGACUGGGAUCCCCCAACCCCGCCUCCCCCUCCGGGGACAGGGAUCCCCCAACCCCGCCUCCCCCUCCGGGGACAGGGAUCCCCCCAACCCCGCCUUCCCCUCCCGGACAGGGAUCCCCGAACCCCGCCCCCUCUCCCGGGACAGGGAUCCCCCAACCCCGCCUCCCCUCCGGGGACAGGGAUCCCCCCAACCCCGCCUCCCCCUCCCGGGACAGGGAUCCCCCAACCCCGCCUCCCCCUCCGGAGACAGGGAUCCCCGAACCCCGCCUCCCCCUCCCCGGACAGGGAUCCCCGAACCCCGCCCCCUCUCCCGGGACAGGGAUCCCCCAACCCCGCCUCCCCCUCCCCGGACAGGGAUCCCCCAACCCCGCCUCCCCCUCCCGGGACAGGGAUCCCCGAACCCCGCCCCCUCUCCCGGGACAGGGAUCCCCCAACCCCGCCUCCCCCUCCCCGGACAGGGAUCCCCGAACCCCGCCCCCUCUCCCGGGACAGGGAUCCUCCAACCCCGCCUCCACCUCCGGGGACAGGGACCCUCGCCCUUGCCUCCGCCCCCCGGGGCAGGGACUCCGCCCCACCCGGCCUGGAGAAAGGGAGGGCCCGGGCGCCCGCGGACCGCGUGGCCUCGCAGCCUGGAGCUGGGGAAGCCGCCCGGCCGCUCCUGGAGAGCGGAUGCUCGCACGCUCGCGGCCCCGGCGCCCGGGCCCAGGCAGCCGAGCCCCGCCCCGGCCCCGGCCCCGCCCCCGGCCCCGCCCCCGCAUUCCCACCCCUCCCCCUCCGCCCCGGGCGGCCCGCGGGGUCUCGUGCUCUCGCCCCGCGCGGGGCCCGCCGGGACUUGGCUGAGGAGGGGGCGGAGCGCGGGGAAAGCCCGCCCGGGCCCGCGGCGCCGUCUGCGCAGGCGCGGAGCGCGGGCCCGCCCCCCGGCCGGCGGCGCGGCCAUAUUUAA